AGUUACUGUGGUUGACUUUCGUUGUAUUGUCUGCAACAGACACCACGCUGCCGAGUGGAGGUCCUGAUGGAUUUAUCCAACCCUGCAUGGAGCGUCACCGUCUCGUGAGUGACCAGCGACGAUGAUGUCAGGUCACGAACAAAAGUAAGAACAACCCUUGAGAUCAAAAGAUCAAAGCCAACGGGCAUGUGCUCACUUGUUAAAGUCAAGCAGACGAGUUUGCUACAAUCUGCUUCAGCGUAUGCAUAAAGGUCGUGAUAAGGGUCAGUUGGUGCUCGAGGUAUAAGUUGUGGUGAAGCAACAAUCUUGUGCAUUGCCUUGAAACUAGAUCCAGCGACAUGGAUCUGUGCAGACCAAAAGAUGCGCGGGCAUAGAACCGGCAUAGACAAUAGGACAAACUGCUCGUGUGCUGCGAUGCUUGCAUCGUCUGGUCCCUCCCAAUGUCCUCAGGUCAUUGGAGCCAGCAGCAGAGUGCGUCCUACACAGGUAUCUGAGAUACCCAAAAGGUCUACAAGCACCACCAAUCUCUCGGCAUGUCAGAUUGACUUCAGCCUCAACACCUCACCCGAGCCCUUAGGACCAACAUCUCGAUGCUGAGUGCUGCCAGAAGUCGGAAACGCAUCCUUCUGUUCUAACGGAGGCAAACGAUCACUCGCCCGUCGGUUGUAACUUAUCUCCUCCAGGUGUGGCGGCCAUAAAGCAGACGGAUGGACCCAUCACGUUAUCACUCGUGAGUUUUUUUAAAGUCGAAGCCCGUAUUGGGAAUCGUUAACAAGCGUACCCUUUACAUUGCACGACUGACGACAUGCUCCCUUGUAAAUCGUUUCCGGUAAACCACGAAAUUCCCAUCCCAGAAACAGUCCACAGGUCAGUAGCAAGGAGAUGUGGUUCCCAGAAUAAUAUAAAUGUAAAGGUGCAGUGAUUGCCUUUCUCCAAGAUUUUGUAUCCAGCAGCACUACCAUGGUGCAAUGCUAAAGCUGAAACUAAAGUCGUGUGAUCUUAUCUAUCAAGCUAUUAAGUGAUUAUGUAUUUUGCACUAUUGUCAUAUUUGCCGAAAGGCACAAAACAGUUAAAACAGUUUAAGACGCCGCAUUUGCCAUUGUGUACAAGUCAAACUCGGUUUGACCCAGUCAGACUGUAAGUCUAUUAUUACGUACGUAUACCCGUUCACCCCCUAAGGUUACAGUUCUUCGUUCGCCAUAAAAAUGGGAGGGAUGUGAGAAAUAUCGUUUCCAUCUGCUCUGAGCGGCUAAUCGGCGACACUCAUUAUUUCCAGCGACGGAAAGCGCCCCGUCAGUCGGCCCGGAGGCCAAGGCCGACCAACCGGCGGCGGCUCGCUCGGUUCCUAUCUCGCUGACCUCCACCGUUCGCCCACAGCAAAAACACUCGGCGAGGGUUAGGUCAGAUAAUGGGUUGACGACACACCAAGGGCAAACGACUGUCGGAGAGGUAUAAAACGGGCGCCAGACGCAGCAGCGACACACUCACACAGUCCACACCACACUCAACAACAUCCACUCUCCAACACUCCACUCAACAUGCACAACCUGCCCGCCAUCAUGACGCUGACCAGGGAGCCGAUUGGCUCGGCUUGGCG
RNAcentral lists this long non-coding RNA (1597 nucleotides) under Amphibalanus amphitrite. Its description in RNAcentral is "uncharacterized LOC122365848". The record is from RNAcentral. Lineage: Eukaryota; Metazoa; Arthropoda; Thecostraca; Balanomorpha; Balanidae.